UAAUACGUAGGUGGCAAGCGUUGUCCGGAUUUAUUGGGUUUAAAGGGUGCGUAGGCGGUCCUAUAAGUCAGUGCUGAAAUAUCCCGGCUUAACCGGGAGGGUGGCAUUGAUACUGCAGGACUUGAGUGAAGUCGAGGUAGGCGGAAUUGACGGUGUAGCGGUGAAAUGCUUAGAUAUCGUCAAGAACACCGAUAGUGAAGACAGCUUACUAGACUUCAACUGACGCUGAGGCACGAAAGUGUGGGGAUCAAACAGGAUUAGAUACCCUGGUAGUCCACACUGUAAACGUUGAUUACUCGAUGUGUGCGAUAUACAGUACGCGUCUUAGCGCAAGCGAUAAGUAAUCCACCUGGGGAGUACGCCGGCAACGGUG
Molecule: ribosomal RNA, 373 nt
Filed under: uncultured bacterium
Lineage: Bacteria
Description: bacterial SSU rRNA
Rfam family: Bacterial small subunit ribosomal RNA
Source: RNAcentral